RNAcentral lists this non-coding RNA (941 nucleotides) under Trichomonas vaginalis G3. RNAcentral's name for it is "Eukaryotic small subunit ribosomal RNA". It matches the Rfam family "Eukaryotic small subunit ribosomal RNA", at positions 43 to 1183 of the family's 1831-position model. The record is from Rfam by way of RNAcentral. Lineage: Eukaryota; Parabasalia; Trichomonadida; Trichomonadidae.
AUUAAGCCAUGCAAGUGUUAGUUCAGGUAACGAAACUGCGAAUAGCUCAUUAAUACGCUCAGAAUCUAUUUGGCGGCGACCAACAGGUCUUAAAUGGAUAGCAGCAGCAACUCUGGUGCUAAUACAUGCGAUUGUUUCUCCAGAUGUGAAUUAUGGAGGAAAAGUUGACCUCAUCAGAGGCACGCCAUUCGACUGAGUGACCUAUCAGCUUGUACUUAGGGUCUUUACCUAGGUAGGCUAUCACGGGUAACGGGCGGUUACCGUCGGACUGCCGGAGAAGGCGCCUGAGAGAUAGCGACUAUAUCCACGGGUAGCAGCAGGCGCGAAACUUUCCCACUCGAGACUUUCGGAGGAGGUAAUGACCAGUUCCAUUGGUGCCUUUUGGUACUGUGGAUAGGGGUACGGUUUUCCACCGUACCGAAACCUAGCAGAGGGCCAGUCUGGUGCCAGCAGCUGCGGUAAUUCCAGCUCUGCGAGUUUGCUCCCAUAUUGUUGCAGUUAAAACGCCCGUAGUCUGAAUUGGCCAGCAAUGGUCGUACGUAUUUUUACGUUCACUGUGAACAAAUCAGGACGCUUAGAGUAUGGCCACAUGAAUGACUCAGCGCAGUAUGAAGUCUUUGUUUUCUUCCGAAAACAAGCUCAAUGAGAGCCAUCGGGGGUAGAUCUAUCUCAUGACGAGUGGUGGAAUACUUUGACUCAUGAGAGAGAAGCUGAGGCGAAGGCGUCUACCUAGAGGGUUUCUGUCGAUCAAGGGCGAGAGUAGGAGUAUCCAACAGGAUUAGAGACCCUGGUAGUUCCUACCUUAAACGAUGCCGACAGGAGUUUGUCAUUUGUUAAUGGCAGAAUCUUUGGAGAAAUCAUAGUUCUUGGGCUCUGGGGGAACUACGACCGCAAGGCUGAAACUUGAAGGAAUGACGGAAGGGCACACCAGGGGUGGAGCC